RNAcentral lists this ribosomal RNA (447 nucleotides) under uncultured bacterium. Its description in RNAcentral is "SSU rRNA". It matches the Rfam family "Bacterial small subunit ribosomal RNA", at positions 26 to 518 of the family's 1533-position model. The record is from RNAcentral.
AGAACGAACGCUGGCGGCAGGCCUAACACAUGCAAGUCGAACGCUCGUAGCAAUACGGGAGUGGCAGACGGGUGAGUAACGCGUGGGAACGUACCUUUCGGUUCGGAAUAACCCGGGGAAACUCGGGCUAAUACCGGAUACGUCCGCAAGGAGAAAGAUUUAUCGCCGAAAGAUCGGCCCGCGUCGGAUUAGCUAGUUGGUGAGGUAACGGCCCACCAAGGCGACGAUCCGUAGCUGGUCUGAGAGGAUGAUCAGCCACACUGGGACUGAGACACGGCCCAGACUCCUACGGGAGGCAGCAGUGGGGAAUAUUGGACAAUGGGCGAAAGCCUGAUCCAGCCAUGCCGCGUGAGUGAAGAAGGCCUUAGGGUUGUAAAGCUCUUUCAGCGGGGAAGAUAAUGACGGUACCGCAGAAGAAGUCCCGGCUAACUUCGUGCCAACAGCCGC